AGGUUUGUGCAGUGGCAGUAUCAUAGCCAAUGAGGUUAAUCUGAGGUGUGAUUAUGGCUACAUGAUUUCCAAGCCACUCUCCAUCAUCUGUCAGCAGUCCUGGCUAAUGGGGGAGGUCCCAGUUGACUGG
Molecule: small nuclear RNA, 130 nt
Filed under: Nipponia nippon (crested ibis)
Lineage: Eukaryota; Metazoa; Chordata; Aves; Pelecaniformes; Threskiornithidae
Description: U4 spliceosomal RNA
Source: Rfam by way of RNAcentral